GGUUAAGCGACUAAGCGUACACGGUGGAUGCCCUGGCAGUCAGAGGCGAUGAAGGACGUGCUAAUCUGCGAUAAGCGUCGGUAAGGUGAUAUGAACCGUUAUAACCGGCGAUUUCCGAAUGGGGAAACCCAGUGUGUUUCGACACACUAUCAUUAACUGAAUCCAUAGGUUAAUGAGGCGAACCGGGGGAACUGAAACAUCUAAGUACCCCGAGGAAAAGAAAUCAACCGAGAUUCCCCCAGUAGCGGCGAGCGAACGGGGAGCAGCCCAGAGCCUGAAUCAGUGUGUGUGUUAGUGGAAGCGUCUGGAAAGGCGCGCGAUACAGGGUGACAGCCCCGUACACAAAAAUGCACAUGCUGUGAGCUCGAUGAGUAGGGCGGGACACGUGGUAUCCUGUCUGAAUAUGGGGGGACCAUCCUCCAAGGCUAAAUACUCCUGACUGACCGAUAGUGAACCAGUACCGUGAGGGAAAGGCGAAAAGAACCCCGGCGAGGGGAGUGAAAAAGAACCUGAAACCGUGUACGUACAAGCAGUGGGAGCACGCUUAGGCGUGUGACUGCGUACCUUUUGUAUAAUGGGUCAGCGACUUAUAUUCUGUAGCAAGGUUAACCGAAUAGGGGAGCCGAAGGGAAACCGAGUCUUAACUGGGCGUUAAGUUGCAGGGUAUAGACCCGAAACCCGGUGAUCUAGCCAUGGGCAGGUUGAAGGUUGGGUAACACUAACUGGAGGACCGAACCGACUAAUGUUGAAAAAUUAGCGGAUGACUUGUGGCUGGGGGUGAAAGGCCAAUCAAACCGGGAGAUAGCUGGUUCUCCCCGAAAGCUAUUUAGGUAGCGCCUCGUGAAUUCAUCUCCGGGGGUAGAGCACUGUUUCGGCAAGGGGGUCAUCCCGACUUACCAACCCGAUGCAAACUGCGAAUACCGGAGAAUGUUAUCACGGGAGACACACGGCGGGUGCUAACGUCCGUCGUGAAGAGGGAAACAACCCAGACCGCCAGCUAAGGUCCCAAAGUCAUGGUUAAGUGGGAAACGAUGUGGGAAGGCCCAGACAGCCAGGAUGUUGGCUUAGAAGCAGCCAUCAUUUAAAGAAAGCGUAAUAGCUCACUGGUCGAGUCGGCCUGCGCGGAAGAUGUAACGGGGCUAAACCAUGCACCGAAGCUGCGGCAGCGACGCUUAUGCGUUGUUGGGUAGGGGAGCGUUCUGUAAGCCUGCGAAGGUGUGCUGUGAGGCAUGCUGGAGGUAUCAGAAGUGCGAAUGCUGACAUAAGUAACGAUAAAGCGGGUGAAAAGCCCGCUCGCCGGAAGACCAAGGGUUCCUGUCCAACGUUAAUCGGGGCAGGGUGAGUCGACCCCUAAGGCGAGGCCGAAAGGCGUAGUCGAUGGGAAACAGGUUAAUAUUCCUGUACUUGGUGUUACUGCGAAGGGGGGACGGAGAAGGCUAUGUUGGCCGGGCGACGGUUGUCCCGGUUUAAGCGUGUAGGCUGGUUUUCCAGGCAAAUCCGGAAAAUCAAGGCUGAGGCGUGAUGACGAGGCACUACGGUGCUGAAGCAACAAAUGCCCUGCUUCCAGGAAAAGCCUCUAAGCAUCAGGUAACAUCAAAUCGUACCCCAAACCGACACAGGUGGUCAGGUAGAGAAUACCAAGGCGCUUGAGAGAACUCGGGUGAAGGAACUAGGCAAAAUGGUGCCGUAACUUCGGGAGAAGGCACGCUGAUAUGUAGGUGAAGCGACUUGCUCGUGGAGCUGAAAUCAGUCGAAGAUACCAGCUGGCUGCAACUGUUUAUUAAAAACACAGCACUGUGCAAACACGAAAGUGGACGUAUACGGUGUGACGCCUGCCCGGUGCCGGAAGGUUAAUUGAUGGGGUUAGCGCAAGCGAAGCUCUUGAUCGAAGCCCCGGUAAACGGCGGCCGUAACUAUAACGGUCCUAAGGUAGCGAAAUUCCUUGUCGGGUAAGUUCCGACCUGCACGAAUGGCGUAAUGAUGGCCAGGCUGUCUCCACCCGAGACUCAGUGAAAUUGAACUCGCUGUGAAGAUGCAGUGUACCCGCGGCAAGACGGAAAGACCCCGUGAACCUUUACUAUAGCUUGACACUGAACAUUGAGCCUUGAUGUGUAGGAUAGGUGGGAGGCUUAGAAGUGUGGACGCCAGUCUGCAUGGAGCCGACCUUGAAAUACCACCCUUUAAUGUUUGAUGUUCUAACGUUGACCCGUAAUCCGGGUUGCGGACAGUGUCUGGUGGGUAGUUUGACUGGGGCGGUCUCCUCCUAAAGAGUAACGGAGGAGCACGAAGGUUGGCUAAUCCUGGUCGGACAUCAGGAGGUUAGUGCAAUGGCAUAAGCCAGCUUGACUGCGAGCGUGACGGCGCGAGCAGGUGCGAAAGCAGGUCAUAGUGAUCCGGUGGUUCUGAAUGGAAGGGCCAUCGCUCAACGGAUAAAAGGUACUCCGGGGAUAACAGGCUGAUACCGCCCAAGAGUUCAUAUCGACGGCGGUGUUUGGCACCUCGAUGUCGGCUCAUCACAUCCUGGGGCUGAAGUAGGUCCCAAGGGUAUGGCUGUUCGCCAUUUAAAGUGGUACGCGAGCUGGGUUUAGAACGUCGUGAGACAGUUCGGUCCCUAUCUGCCGUGGGCGCUGGAGAACUGAGGGGGCUGCUCCUAGUACGAGAGGACCGGAGUGGACGCAUCACUGGUGUUCGGGUUGUCAUGCCAAUGGCACUGCCCGGUAGCUAAAUGCGGAAGAGAUAAGUGCUGAAAGCAUCUAAGCACGAAACUUGCCCCGAGAUGAGUUCUCCCUGACCCUUUAAGGGUCCUGAAGGAACGUUGAAGACGACGACGUUGAUAGGCCGGGUGUGUAAGCGCAGCGAUGCGUUGAGCUAACCGGUACUAAUGAACCGUGAGGCUUAACCUU
Molecule: ribosomal RNA, 2903 nt
Filed under: Escherichia coli
Lineage: Bacteria; Pseudomonadati; Pseudomonadota; Gammaproteobacteria; Enterobacterales; Enterobacteriaceae
Description: 23S ribosomal RNA
Rfam family: Bacterial large subunit ribosomal RNA
Source: RNAcentral